This 62-nucleotide transfer RNA is filed under the name Lagocephalus inermis (smooth blaasop). Its description in RNAcentral is "tRNA-His". It matches the Rfam family "tRNA". Rfam says of the family: Transfer RNA (tRNA) molecules are approximately 80 nucleotides in length. Their secondary structure includes four short double-helical elements and three loops (D, anti-codon, and T loops). Lineage: Eukaryota; Metazoa; Chordata; Actinopteri; Tetraodontiformes; Tetraodontidae. The record is from RNAcentral.
UAGUUUAGCUAAAACAUUAGAUUGUGAUUCUAAAAAUAGGGGUUAAAGUCCAUAAUUAACCU